CCCUUAGAUGUCCUGGGCUGCACGCGCGCUACACUGGAAGUUACGGAUUGUGAUACUACCUUGUCCGAAAUGGUCCGGGUAAUCACCUAAAAGCUUGUCAUAAUUGGAAUGGAUUAUUGUAACUAGUAAUCCUGAACGAGGAAUUCCUAGUAAGUCCCAGUCAACAGCUGGUACUGAUUACGUCCCUGCCCUUUGUACACACCGCCCGUCGCUACUACUGAUUGGACGUUUAAGCAAGAUUUUUAAACACUGACAGUGUGUAGUUCACGCUAUACUACAGUGAGAAGAAGAAGAUCGAGCUUACUUGUCUAGAGGAAGUAAAAGUCGUAACA
This 332-nucleotide ribosomal RNA is filed under the name uncultured eukaryote. Its description in RNAcentral is "partial 18S ribosomal RNA". It matches the Rfam family "Eukaryotic small subunit ribosomal RNA", at positions 1470 to 1796 of the family's 1831-position model. The record is from RNAcentral.